ACGGGAGCACACAACAGGUGGAGCCUGCGUUUAAUCGGACUCAACGCCGGGAAACUCACCAGAUAAGACAGCUGAAUGAUAGUCGGGCUGAAGACUCUACUUGACUAGCUGAGAGGAGGUGCAUGGCCGUCGUCAGUUCGUACUGUGAAGCAUCCCGUUAAGUCAGGCAACGAGCGAGACCCACGCCAACAGUUGCCAGCUCGUCCUCCGGGAUGGUGGGGACACUGUUGGGACCGCCUCUGCUAAAGAGGAGGAAGGAAUGGGCAACGGUAGGUCAGCAUGCCCCGAAUUAUCUGGGCUACACGCGGGCUACAAUGGGUGGGACAAUGGGUAUCGACACCGAAAGGUGAAGGCAAUCUCCUAAACCCAUCCGUAGUUCGGAUUGUGGGCUGCAACUCGCCCACAUGAAGCUGGAAUCUGUAGUAAUCGUGUCUCAAAAUGGCACGGUGAAUAUGUCCCUGCUCCUU
Molecule: ribosomal RNA, 467 nt
Filed under: uncultured Methanomicrobiales archaeon
Lineage: Archaea; Methanobacteriati; Methanobacteriota; Methanomicrobia; Methanomicrobiales
Description: bacterial SSU rRNA
Rfam family: Archaeal small subunit ribosomal RNA
Source: RNAcentral